Long non-coding RNA from Megalobrama amblycephala (Wuchang bream), 579 nucleotides. RefSeq lists it as uncharacterized. The transcript is spliced from 3 exons. The record is from RefSeq and is a predicted model, not a curated record. NCBI's taxonomy places the organism in Eukaryota, Metazoa, Chordata, Actinopteri, Cypriniformes, Xenocyprididae.
GGGCCCCAAUGUGAGUGCAUGUACAAUGGGCUGAGGAAACUUCACCAGUGGAGCUGAUGAUAACCCAAGCCUUCAGAGGAGCUGCUCCUGUCUGGCUUCACUGCACUCGUGCAAAAAGUAUUUUACAAACCACUGGGCCAAACAGGAUUAAUGCAAUAAGAAAGGUGAAGUAGGUCAAUAUUUCAGAUGAGAAAGUAAGACUUUUUCACAGUACUGUACUGUAGGGGGUUGGGCAAAGUAAUGUGAACGCCUGGGAAGUAUGAUAUUGGAUACAUGAAUCUCUCUAAAUUAUCAUCAACAUGAUAAAAAUAGUUGAAAACCUGUUGUAUAAUCAUGAUUAUGAUCAUGCAUUACCAAUUAUAAUUCCCUAUUAACAUAUUGCCAUACUGGUAUUCUUCGGGUGCACUCCCAUAUUCAAUAUGCAGAUAUCUCCUUGCACUGUACAAAAUCUACAACAACUCGUUAUCUUUUAUUAUAUUACAGUUUUUUUCAGUUGCUAACAAGCAUUUACCAAUACUUAAAGUACUUUUUCUAAACUCUUAACACAGCAACACACAUACAUCACACAAUUAGCCAAAU